UACGUAGGGUGCAAGCGUUAAUCGGAAUUACUGGGCGUAAAGCGUGCGCAGGCGGUUAUGCAAGACAGAUGUGAAAUCCCCGGGCUUAACCUGGGAACUGCAUUUGUGACUGCAUAGCUAGAGUAUGGUAGAGGGGGAUGGAAUUCCGCGUGUAGCAGUGAAAUGCGUAGAUAUGCGGAGGAACACCGAUGGCGAAGGCAGUCCCCUGGACCUGUACUGACGCUCAUGCACGAAAGCGUGGGGAGCAAACAGG
RNAcentral lists this ribosomal RNA (253 nucleotides) under uncultured bacterium. RNAcentral's name for it is "partial 16S ribosomal RNA". It matches the Rfam family "Bacterial small subunit ribosomal RNA", at positions 524 to 776 of the family's 1533-position model. The record is from RNAcentral.